AUGUAUGGCAGGAUGCAUAAGGCCAUCUUGGGAGUAUCUGUGCCUGCGCGGAGCUGCUGGGCUGAUGCGGGACACCGAGCGCCCGAAAAGGAAGACGGACACGCACGGUGGAGGAGAGCGGGAGAGGAGGGAGCAGCCAAGGAAGACAGGGCGUGGGGAGUGGGGCCUGCACACCUUCCGUCUCCGGGAAAGGAGCUACCUUCCCCGCUCGGGCCGUGGACCGGGCUGGAUUUGGGUCUGGGAGCAGAGCUGGCAGCCACUGCUGUGCAUCUGGCUGGCUGGGAGCGGGGGAAAUGUUUCCACCGAAGACCGACCGGGGCCAGGGUAAGUGAAGAAGGCUGCAAUGUGGCCGUGAUUGAGCAACGACAGCUAAGAAUGCGGAGAAUGAGAGGUCUCCGGGGAGAGCACAAAGGCCAGAGCCUUUGUCUGAUGUGUGAGUUUUACGGUAACCUCCUAAUGUCGUCUGUCCUGUGGGAUUCCGUCAGGGGGUGGUUCAGGCACGACCCAGGCAGCAGGGAGUUUGUGUACAAGGCCACAGCAUGUCCUCUAUGUCCACAGGAAUCUUUUUAAUAAGUUUAUUGGUACAUUUUCGGUACGCAUAACGAUCACAUUCAUCCUAGGGAAUCUGUGCCCGUGCAUAAUAGAUCUUGAUUCAUUUUUCCCCUCCCUUGCCCUCCCUUCAAACCCUCUUUCCCUUCUUUACUUACAAAAGCUUUGUUCUGCUUUUUCUUUUCUAGUUUUUGUCCUCUUCUCUUUCCUUUCCCCCACUCCGCUCCCUUGUUCCCCUUCCCCUUUGAACAUUUUCUUCCUAUUUCACAAUAACUUUUGCACAUUUUGGUCCUUAUUUACACUCUUGAUUUUGCACACCAGAGAGACGAUGUGAUAUUCACACGUGUGUCCGAUUUAUUUCACUUAAGAGUAUGAACUCAAGGUGCAUCUAUUUACCUAGAAAUAUCUCAUUUAUUCUUCUUUAUGGCUGAGUAGUACUCCAUUAUAUUAAAAAAACCCCACAUCUUCUUUAUCUGUUCAUUGGCUGAUGGGCAUUUGGGCUGUUUCCAAAAUUUAGCUAUUACAAACUAUACCACUGUAGGGCUGGAGAUUUAGCUCAGUGGUUUUUUUUUUUUUUUUUUUUUUUUUUUUUUUUUUUUUUUUUUUUGCAGGUUUAAUGUCCAGUCUUCUCUAUCUCCC
RNAcentral lists this long non-coding RNA (1188 nucleotides) under Fukomys damarensis (Damara mole-rat). RNAcentral describes it as "lncRNA (ENSFDAG00000031163.1)". The record is from RNAcentral. Lineage: Eukaryota; Metazoa; Chordata; Mammalia; Rodentia; Bathyergidae.